CAACCGGUGGAGCAUGUGUUUCAUUUUGACGCAACGCGAAAAACCUCCCCUGGGCUCGAAUUGUAGGGGAAUCGGGUGGAAACAUCCGCUUCUCGCAAGAAACUGCUAUAUAGGUGCUGCAUGGCUGUCGUCCUCUCGUGUCGUGAGAUGUUGGGUUAAGUCCCGCAACCACCGCAACCCUUAUCCCUGGUUGCCAUUGUGUCAAGCCGGGCACUCUAGUGAAACCGCCCGGUAUAACCGGGAGGAAGGUGGGGAAGACGUCAUGUCCUCAUGGUCUUUAUGUUCAGGGCUACACCCGUGCUACAUUGGUCGGAAAAAAACCCUCCAAACCCGCGAGGGGGAACUAAUCAAAAAAAGCCCGCCACAUUUCGGAAUGGAGUCUGCCCCCCCACUCCAUGAAGCUUGUAUCCCUUAUAUUUGAGAUAUCAAAACGCCGCGAAGUAUUUUUUCACAGGUUCUUGUACACCCC
Molecule: ribosomal RNA, 469 nt
Filed under: uncultured bacterium
Lineage: Bacteria
Description: partial 16S ribosomal RNA
Rfam family: Bacterial small subunit ribosomal RNA
Source: RNAcentral